Centrocercus urophasianus (Greater sage-grouse) is the source of this 576-nucleotide long non-coding RNA. RefSeq lists it as uncharacterized. NCBI's taxonomy places the organism in Eukaryota, Metazoa, Chordata, Aves, Galliformes, Phasianidae. The record is from RefSeq and is a predicted model, not a curated record. The transcript is spliced from 3 exons.
CAAUGCUUUUUGCUACACGACCAGGGAACGUAAGUAUGUCGGCAGAGUCACUGACAACUGGGAUCGCUGCGUACUACUUAGCGUUUUGAAGGCAUUUUUCUCACCAGAAGUCAUUACAAGUAGAGAUGACGAAUUCGAUUCCAGCGGCCUUCGCCGUGUUCUUCCUGAAGGUGACAUCUGGAGUAAACUUCCCUGUGACUUUGACAAUGUAAGGAGAAGAUAAGGAACCAUUUAAAGUGACAGUGUGAAUCACAGAAAGGUGGAAUCAUGGAAUCACAAUGUUGGAAACAGUGUACAAGAUGAUCCAGUGCAACUGUGUGUCACCAUAAGCACUCAAUCAUUGUGAAGCAUGUUGUCCAUGUGUCCCAUUGAGUGUGUCUGGAAAUGGGACUAUGUGUACAUAAUUGUGUUCUUAUUCCAGAAAUGGGACAAUUCAAUGAGAUGCAAUAAAAAGGUGUCAGUGUACAGAAGCACAUGAAGGUCUACAUCCAGAGACUGUUCUUGGAUGGAGCACAGUGGAACAGAGAAACUAAAAAGCAAGGAGAUUAUCAUCCAAAAACCCUCUGCCAUACGGUG